Pundamilia nyererei is the source of this 108-nucleotide long non-coding RNA. RefSeq lists it as uncharacterized. NCBI's taxonomy places the organism in Eukaryota, Metazoa, Chordata, Actinopteri, Cichliformes, Cichlidae. The record is from RefSeq and is a predicted model, not a curated record. The transcript has 2 exons.
CUCUUCCUCAUGUCUUCUUCAUACAGAACUCAGCCUGGAGGAUGGGUUGGAUGAAAUAAAAACGACAACCCAAAAGCCCAAAGAGAAGCCAAAGGCACCAGAGCAGCC